RNAcentral lists this ribosomal RNA (250 nucleotides) under uncultured prokaryote. RNAcentral describes it as "partial 16S ribosomal RNA". It matches the Rfam family "Bacterial small subunit ribosomal RNA", at positions 524 to 773 of the family's 1533-position model. The record is from RNAcentral.
UACGUAGGGGGCGAGCGUUGUCCGGAAUGACUGGGCGUAAAGGGCGUGUAGGCGGCCAUCUAAGUCUGGAGUGAAAGUUCUGCUUUUAAGGUGGGAAUUGCUUUGGAUACUGGAUAGCUUGAGUGCGGAAGAGGUAAGUGGAAUUCCCAGUGUAGCGGUGAAAUGCGUAGAGAUUGGGAGGAACACCAGUGGCGAAGGCGACUUACUGGGCCGUAACUGACGCUGAGGCGCGAAAGCGUGGGGAGCGAAC